Molecule: unclassified non-coding RNA, 302 nt
Filed under: uncultured fungus
Lineage: Eukaryota; Fungi
Description: sequence contains 5.8S rRNA gene
Source: RNAcentral
GAACGCAACUUGCGCCCUCUGGUAUUCCAAAGGGCAUCCCUGUUUGAGCGUCAUUUCACUCUUAAAUCGUUUGAUUUAGUAUUGAACUUAUAUUUUUCUGUUGCAAAAUAGAAAAUAGUUUGAAAUUGAUUUGGCAAGAAGCAAUAUCCAGUUUGAAGCUUUCUUUUUACAACGUAAUAGGUUUUACCAACUCGUUGGCUAGUAAGGAGCUUUGUUAUAUUUGGAUAUAUCGCUUUGGCGUUAUAAUUUUUAAAAUUAAAAGUUUGACCUCAAAUCAGGUAAGACUACCCGCUGAACUUAAG